RNAcentral lists this transfer RNA (76 nucleotides) under Citrobacter koseri. Its description in RNAcentral is "tRNA-Thr". It matches the Rfam family "tRNA". Rfam says of the family: Transfer RNA (tRNA) molecules are approximately 80 nucleotides in length. Their secondary structure includes four short double-helical elements and three loops (D, anti-codon, and T loops). The record is from RNAcentral. Lineage: Bacteria; Pseudomonadati; Pseudomonadota; Gammaproteobacteria; Enterobacterales; Enterobacteriaceae. RNAcentral also lists the same sequence under 13 other names.
GCUGAUAUGGCUCAGUUGGUAGAGCGUACCCUUGGUAAGGGUGAGGUCCCCAGUUCGACUCUGGGUAUCAGCACCA